Long non-coding RNA from Saccostrea echinata, 305 nucleotides. RefSeq lists it as uncharacterized. The record is from RefSeq and is a predicted model, not a curated record. NCBI's taxonomy places the organism in Eukaryota, Metazoa, Mollusca, Bivalvia, Ostreida, Ostreidae. The transcript is spliced from 3 exons.
AUACUUGCCACUGUCGUCUGGACCUAUAGCAUUGAAACAUGAGUUUUUCAAAAGAGGAAAAAUGGAAGGAAGUGUGGAUCCGCCAGCGAAAAAAGACCCACAGGCUGACUUAAACACCAAGAGAGCUGUGAUGAUGUCGAAAAGAUAUUAUCAUCAUCGGUACAUAGGAAGAGGCUAAUUUCAAUCCGUGAACAGAUUCAAGGAACAGAUACCAAGACUCCUGAAAGAAAAUCUUUGAAUUAUCUGUAUGUCUAAUCCAUGAAGAUUAUAAAUAAAUUUUGAAUUUCUCAAGCGAAGCAACAAAA